CCUACGGGCGGCAGCAGUGAGGAAUAUUGGUCAAUGGACGAGAGUCUGAACCAGCCAAGUAGCGUGAAGGAUGACUGCCCUAUGGGUUGUAAACUUCUUUUAUAUGGGAAUAAAAUGUUCCACGUGUGGGAUUUUGUAUGUACCAUAUGAAUAAGGAUCGGCUAACUCCGUGCCAGCAGCCGCGGUAAUACGGAGGAUCCGAGCGUUAUCCGGAUUUAUUGGGUUUAAAGGGAGCGUAGGUGGAUUGUUAAGUCAGUUGUGAAAGUUUGCGGCUCAACCGUAAAAUUGCAGUUGAAACUGGCAGUCUUGAGUACAGUAGAGGUGGGCGGAAUGCGUGGUGUAGCGGUGAAAUGCUUAGAUAUCACGAAGAACUCCGAUUGCGAAGGCAGCUUACUGGACUGCAACUGACACUGAGGCUCGAAAGUGUGGGUAUCAAACAGGAGUAGAUACCCUUGUAGUC
Molecule: ribosomal RNA, 460 nt
Filed under: uncultured bacterium
Lineage: Bacteria
Description: partial 16S ribosomal RNA
Rfam family: Bacterial small subunit ribosomal RNA
Source: RNAcentral